AUCUAAAGCUAAAUACCGGCCAGAGACCGAUAGCGCACAAGUAGAGUGAUCGAAAGAUGAAAAGCACUUUGGAAAGAGAGUCAAAAAGUACGUGAAAUUGUUGAAAGGGAAGCGCUCGCAACCAGACCUGCCCGCGGCCGAUCAACCGUCCUUCUGGGCGGUGCACUCGACCGCGAUCAGGCCAGCAUCGGUUCGGGCGGCCGGAUAAAGGCCUUGGGAACGUAGCUCCUCUCGGGGAGUGUUAUAGCCCUCGGUGCAAUGCGGCCAGCCUGGACCGAGGACCGCGCUUCGGCUAGGAUGCUGGCGUAAUGGUUGUGAGCGGCCCGUCUUGAAACACGGACCAAGGAGUCUAACAUCUAUGCGAGUGUUUGGGUGUCAAACCCAUGCGCGGAAUGAAAGUGAACGGAGGUGGGAACCCUUACGGGCGCACCAUCGACCGAUCCAGAUGUCUUCGGAUGGAUUUGAGUACGAGCAUAGCUGUUGGGACCCGAAAGAUGGUGAACUAUGCCUGAAUAGGGUGAAGCCAGAGGAAACUCUGGUGGAGGCUCGCAGCGGUUCUGACGUGCAAAUCGAUCGUCAAAUUUGGGUAUAGGGGCGAAAGACUAAUCGAACCAUC
Molecule: ribosomal RNA, 616 nt
Filed under: Caloplaca obscurella
Lineage: Eukaryota; Fungi; Ascomycota; Lecanoromycetes; Teloschistales; Teloschistaceae
Description: LSU rRNA
Rfam family: Eukaryotic large subunit ribosomal RNA
Source: RNAcentral